RNAcentral lists this ribosomal RNA (253 nucleotides) under uncultured bacterium. RNAcentral describes it as "partial 16S ribosomal RNA". It matches the Rfam family "Bacterial small subunit ribosomal RNA", at positions 524 to 776 of the family's 1533-position model. The record is from RNAcentral.
GACGUAGGGCGCGAGCGUUGUCCGGAUUUAUUGGGCGUAAAGAGCUCGUAGGCGGCUUGUCGCGUCGUCCGUGAAAACUUGGGGCUCAACUCCAAGCUUGCGGUCGAUACGGGCAGGCUCGAGUUCGGUAGGGGAGACUGGAAUUCCUGGUGUAGCGGUGAAAUGCGCAGAUAUCAGGAGGAACACCGAUGGCGAAGGCAGCUCGCUGGGACGGUACUGACGCUGAGGCGCGAAAGCGUGGGGAGCAAACAGG